RNAcentral lists this ribosomal RNA (429 nucleotides) under Pseudomonadota bacterium. Its description in RNAcentral is "Proteobacteria bacterium partial 16S ribosomal RNA". It matches the Rfam family "Bacterial small subunit ribosomal RNA", at positions 355 to 776 of the family's 1533-position model. Lineage: Bacteria; Pseudomonadati; Pseudomonadota. The record is from RNAcentral.
UGGGGAAUAUUGGACAAUGGGCGAAAGCCUGAUCCAGCCAUGCUGCGUGUGUGAAGAAGGUCUCCGGUUUGUAAAGCACUUUAAGUUGGGAGGAAGGGCAGUAAGCGAAUACCUUGCUGUUUUGACGUGACCGACAGAAUAAGCACCGGCUAACUCUGUGCCAGCAGCGGCGGUAAUACAGAGGGUGCAAGCGUUAAUCGGAAUUACUGGGCGUAAAGCGCGCGUAGGUGGUUCGUUAAGUUGAAUGUGAAAGCCCCGGGCUCAAACUUGGAACUGCAUCCAAAACUGACGAGCUAGAGUAGGGCAGAGGGUGGUGGAAUUUCCUGUGUAGCGGUGAAAUGCGUAGAUAUAGGAAGGAACACCAGUAGCGAAAGCGACCACCUGGGCUCAUACUGACACUGAGGUGCGAAAGCGUGGGGAGCAAACAGG